UGCCCAGUAACGGCGAGUGAAGCGGCAACAGCUCAAAUUUGAAAUCUGGCCCCUAGGGCCCGAGUUGUAAUUUGCAGAGGAUGCUUUUGGCGCGGUGCCUUCCGAGUUCCCUGGAACGGGACGCCAUAGAGGGUGAGAGCCCCGUCUGGUCGGACACCAAGCCAGUGUAAAGCUCCUUCGACGAGUCGAGUAGUUUGGGAAUGCUGCUCUAAAUGGGAGGUAUAUGUCUUCUAAAGCUAAAUACCGGCCAGAGACCGAUAGCGCACAAGUAGAGUGAUCGAAAGAUGAAAAGCACUUUGAAAAGAGGGUUAAACAGUACGUGAAAUUGUUGAAAGGGAAGCGUUUAUGACCAGACUUGGGCCCGGUGAAUCAUCCAGCGUUCUCGCUGGUGCACUUUGCCGGGCUCAGGCCAGCAUCAGUUCGUCGCGGGGGAUAAAAGCUUCGGGAACGUGGCUCCCUCGGGAGUGUUAUAGCCCGUUGCAUAAUACCCUGCGGUGGACUGAGGUACGCGCUCCGCAAGGAUGCUGGCGUAAUGGUCAUCAGCGACCCGUCUUGAAACACGGACCAAGGAGUCGUCUUCGUAUGCGAGUGUUCGGGUGUCAAACCCCUACGCGUAAUGAAAGUGAACGCAGGUGAGAGCUUCGGCGCAUCAUCGACCGAUCCUGAUGUUCUCGGAUGGAUUUGAGUAAGAGCAUACGGGGCCGGACCCGAAAGAAGGUGAACUAUGCCUGUAUAGGGUGAAGCCAGAGGAAACUCUGGUGGAGGCUCGCAGCGGUUCUGACGUGCAAAUCGAUCGUCAAAUAUGGGCAUGGGGGCGAAAGACU
This 824-nucleotide ribosomal RNA is filed under the name Tolypocladium amazonense. RNAcentral's name for it is "eukaryotic LSU rRNA". It matches the Rfam family "Eukaryotic large subunit ribosomal RNA", at positions 76 to 932 of the family's 3401-position model. Lineage: Eukaryota; Fungi; Ascomycota; Sordariomycetes; Hypocreales; Ophiocordycipitaceae. The record is from RNAcentral.